This is a long non-coding RNA of Dromiciops gliroides (monito del monte), 774 nucleotides long. RefSeq lists it as uncharacterized. The transcript has 5 exons. The record is from RefSeq and is a predicted model, not a curated record. NCBI's taxonomy places the organism in Eukaryota, Metazoa, Chordata, Mammalia, Microbiotheria, Microbiotheriidae.
AACCGAGGCUCCUGCACUCAGCCUGCGCGUCAUGGCGACCACCGCCUAUGCCCCCACCUCAGCGCUCAACUGACUCUCUUCCCCAAAGGAGUCCGCUCCAGUCUACCGUGAACCUCACAGAGUCAUCAGAAUCCAGUGACAAAAGACAAGUCAAGAAAAGACGACUGGCAAUGGCCCAGCAAUAUGAGAGUAAAGAAAGAGACAAGACUGGCCUUCAGAAAAUUGCUCCAAUCUCCAUUGGAAUGGGAAGAGCGUUAGUCUGGAUGAUAUAUGGCUGUGAAUCAUUGAAUGCCAUCCUCUCAGAAGACUCAAGAUUAAGAUGACACCAGGAACAAUGGAAAGAUACAUGGCACAUGGGGCUGACUAGAGUUGGAGAUCAUGGAACUUAGAGAUCAAUCAUUUCUUGGAUAUCAUUCUGUCUAAUCUCCUCAUUUUACAGGCUGGGAUUGGUGGAGUCCUGCAGCCUGGCCAAUCAUAGAGGAGUGGCACAGAAACCAGGUAUAUCUUAUACUGAGUCCCUGAAGAAUUUCUUUCUGAAGACUUUCAUCGAUACAGAACCCAUUCACAUCGGAUGUAAGCUGAUCCAUUUUUAGACAACUCCGAUUGUUUUUUCCUAGUACAGAACUUAAAUCUGCCUUUUCAAGCCUUGCUGCUCUCCUCCUGCUGCUGUCUCACUUCUAGGUCUGCCCCUUGGGCCCAAGCACAGCAAGCCUGAUCCCAUUUCUACAUGAUGCUUAAACGCUUGGACACAGUUGCCAAGUGCCCUGACAUCUU